RNAcentral lists this microRNA precursor (78 nucleotides) under Tetraodon nigroviridis (spotted green pufferfish). RNAcentral's name for it is "miRNA (ENSTNIG00000020132.1)". Lineage: Eukaryota; Metazoa; Chordata; Actinopteri; Tetraodontiformes; Tetraodontidae. The record is from RNAcentral.
CAGGAGAGGAGGCAAGAUGCUGGCAUAGCUGCUGACGCUGGCUCCCGGCUGUGCCAGCAACCUGCCCUCUUUCUGCCU